Molecule: long non-coding RNA, 1640 nt
Filed under: Citrus sinensis (sweet orange)
Lineage: Eukaryota; Viridiplantae; Streptophyta; Magnoliopsida; Sapindales; Rutaceae
Description: long non-coding RNA (CSIN_LNC005078)
Source: RNAcentral
UAAAACAUGACUGACAUUCAAUUUUUGUAACGUAUGUGAAUUAAAUGAAUAAAUAAAAAGCAAAAGAGAAAAGAGCUGGAAAACAGAGGGAAGAUACACGUGUGACAGAGGGUGAGAGAGAUGCUACCAAACCGACCCAACUAUAGACCCAAAAGGCCGACCCGAACCGCAAACGUGACCUGGCCGUAUCUUCCGAUUCCGGCCACCCCACCGGUCAAUCUUGGUACCAAUCUGAAGCUUAGAAGCCGUCCGUCGCUACCAUACCAUCCUCUCCGCCGAAAACUAACCGGAACGCCGACGACCAAAGCUUGAAAACCCGCAACUGUUUCGCUUUGUUCCGCCGACAUUUUCGCCAGUUUUGGGUGACACCACUGGUUGGAUUUUGUUCCCCACGACUCCCUCUUCCAUUUCCGACCAUCCACUGCCGCCGAGGACAUCGUUUUGCCGUUGAUCGGCCGUUGGAGGACUUACGGGUUUGGGAGCUCAAUCCGGAGCUAUCCCCGCGCGUGGAAGGUCACCACCGCCACCGUUGGACUCAGUGUGGCCAGAUAUUUUAGACUUGAGCUUCCCGGCCAGCGUUGAUCAAAUUCCGGUGAAUGUUGACCGGCAGGGGCAUUUUGGUAAUUUCAUCAACAUAGGAGUUGUAAAUUAUAGAUAGAUGUUCGUUUCAAAUUUAUUGCAUAAAUUUAGUCCUAAUUCUUACUUAUGGAAAAUAAUUAUGUCAUUUCCUUGAUUUAAGAGGAUCCGCGAGCGAGAAUCGGUCCACGGACGUAAACGAUAACCAAGUGUGAACACCGUCACUGUGAGUGGAAUAUUACAAAACUUAUUUUCAUAGUUAAUUAUGAUAGUAAUGCAUGUUUGCGAAAUAAGUGUUUUAAAUGUUCUGAUUUAAUGAUUUUCUCGAAAUUGAUUUUGUUCACGCAUUGGUAUUUUAUUAAAAUGCUUUAUUAAUGAUUUUGCGUAUCGACUUUGAAUAAGCAUGAUAAUAUUUUAAAGAUAAGAAAAGUGGAUUAAAAUGUGAUAUGAUUUAAAGUAUGGUAAAAAGGUAUGUGAAUAUGAGUAUAAUGAUUGUUUUUUAAAUCAUUAGACAGUACCCUUCCCCUCCAAAUACAAUGAUACAUAUGAGAUGAGAUAGAGGUCUUUGGGGCCUGUCUGAACACACAUAGAGGCUUUGUGCCGUGUGCUUGGGCCCUUUUGUCAUUUGGGGACUAGAUUAUGCAUACACAUAUAUGAUGAGGUGGAUGGCUGAUCAAAAUUAAAUAAUCCUUGAACGAGAUUGAGGCCUUGACAGAGAUACAACAUCAGGGCAUUGUAAAACAUGACUGACAUUCAAUUUUUGUAACGUAUGUGAAUUAAAUGAAUAAAUAAAAAGCAAAAGAGAAAAGAGCUGGAAAACAGAGGGAAGAUACACGUGUGACAGAGGGUGAGAGAGAUGCUACCAAACCGACCCAACUAUAGACCCAAAAGGCCGACCCGAACCGCAAACGUGACCUGGCCGUAUCUUCCGAUUCCGGCCACCCCACCGGUCAAUCUUGGUACCAAUCUGAAGCUUAGAAGCCGUCCGUCGCUACCAUACCAUCCUCUCCGCCGAAAACUAACCGGAACGCCGACGACCAAAGCUUGAAAACCCGCAACUGUUU